CCAGAGGGUCGGGCGAUCGCGUCGCCGCGCAAGCGGUGCCGAGGAAAGUCCGGGCUCCACGGAACAGCGGUGCCGGGUAACGCCCGGCGGUUUCCGGCCAGCGGCCGGGGAUCAGGGACAGUGCAACAGAGAGCAGACAAGCGACCGCUUCGGCGACGCGAGGGUGAAAGGGUGCGGUAAGAGCGCACCGCGGCCCCGGCAACGGGGACGGCAUUGCAAACCCCACCGGGAGCAAGACCGAAUAGGGGCGGCGCGCGGGGCAACCCGCAGGGCCUUGUUCCGGCCCAGUCGCCCGGGUUGGUUGCUGGAGGCCGUCAGCAAUGGCGGCCCGAGAGGAAUGAUCGCCCAGUCCCGGACCCGUUCCGGGAUGGACAGAACCCGGCUUACAGACCCUCUGGCAGA
Molecule: RNase P RNA, 402 nt
Filed under: Sphingomonas changnyeongensis
Lineage: Bacteria; Pseudomonadati; Pseudomonadota; Alphaproteobacteria; Sphingomonadales; Sphingomonadaceae
Description: Bacterial RNase P class A
Rfam family: Bacterial RNase P class A
About the family: Ribonuclease P (RNase P) is a ubiquitous endoribonuclease, found in archaea, bacteria and eukarya as well as chloroplasts and mitochondria. Its best characterised activity is the generation of mature 5'-ends of tRNAs by cleaving the 5'-leader elements of precursor-tRNAs.
Source: Rfam by way of RNAcentral